This 467-nucleotide ribosomal RNA is filed under the name uncultured bacterium. Its description in RNAcentral is "partial 16S ribosomal RNA". It matches the Rfam family "Bacterial small subunit ribosomal RNA", at positions 28 to 507 of the family's 1533-position model. The record is from RNAcentral.
GACGAACGCUGGCGGCGUGCUUAACACAUGCAAGUCGAACGGAAAGGCCCUGCUUUUGUGGGGUGCUCGAGUGGCGAACGGGUGAGUAACACGUGAGUAACCUGCCCUUGACUUUGGGAUAACUUCAGGAAACUGGGGCUAAUACCGGAUAGGAGCUCCUGCUGCAUGGUGGGGGUUGGAAAGUUUCGGCGGUUGGGGAUGGACUCGCGGCUUAUCAGCUUGUUGGUGGGGUAGUGGCUUACCAAGGCUUUGACGGGUAGCCGGCCUGAGAGGGUGACCGGCAACAUUGGGACUGAGAUACGGCCCAGACUCUUACGGGAGGAAGCAGUGGGGAAUAUUGAACAAUGGGCGGAAGCCGGAUGCAGCAACGCCGCGUGGGGGAUGACGGCCUUCGGGUUGUAAACCGCUUUCGCCUGUGACGAAGCGUGAGUGACGGUAUGGGUAAAGAAGCACCGGCUAACUACGUG